UACGUAGGGUGCAAGCGUUAAUCGGAAUUACUGGGCGUAAAGCGUGCGCAGGCGGUUUUGUAAGUCUGAUGUGAAAGCCCCGGGCUCAACCUGGGAAUUGCAUUGGAGACUGCAAGGCUUGAAUCUGGCAGAGGGGGGUAGAAUUCCACGUGUAGCAGUGAAAUGCGUAGAGAUGUGGAGGAACACCGAUGGCGAAGGCAGCCCCCUGGGUCAAGAUUGACGCUCAUGCACGAAAGCGUGGGGAGCAAACAGGAUUAGAUACCCUGGUAGUCCACGCCCUAAACGAUGUCUACUAGUUGUCGGGUUUUAAUUAACUUGGUAACGCAGCUAACGCGUGAAGUAGACCGCCUGGGGAGUACGGUCGCAAGAUUA
This 372-nucleotide ribosomal RNA is filed under the name uncultured prokaryote. Its description in RNAcentral is "bacterial SSU rRNA". It matches the Rfam family "Bacterial small subunit ribosomal RNA", at positions 524 to 896 of the family's 1533-position model. The record is from RNAcentral.